Molecule: ribosomal RNA, 760 nt
Filed under: uncultured Prevotella sp.
Lineage: Bacteria; Pseudomonadati; Bacteroidota; Bacteroidia; Bacteroidales; Prevotellaceae
Description: bacterial SSU rRNA
Rfam family: Bacterial small subunit ribosomal RNA
Source: RNAcentral
GAUGAACGCUGGCUACAGGCUUAACACAUGCAAGUCGAGGGGAAACGACGGGGAAGCUUGCUUCCUUGGGCGUCGACCGGCGCACGGGUGAGUAACGCGUAUCCAACCUGCCUCUGACUGAGGGAUAACCCGUCGAAAGUCGGCCUAAUACCUCAUGGUAUCGUCUGCGGGCAUCCAAUGACGAUUAAAGAUUUCAUCGGUCAGGGAUGGGGAUGCGUCUGAUUAGCUUGUUGGCGGGGUAACGGCCCACCAAGGCUACGAUCAGUAGGGGUUCUGAGAGGAAGGUCCCCCACAUUGGAACUGAGACACGGUCCAAACUCCUACGGGAGGCAGCAGUGAGGAAUAUUGGUCAAUGGGCGAGAGCCUGAACCAGCCAAGUAGCGUGCAGGAUGACGGCCCUAUGGGUUGUAAACUGCUUUUAUGCGGGGAUAAAGUGAGGGACGUGUCCUUCAUUGCAGGUACCGCAUGAAUAAGGACCGGCUAAUUCCGUGCCAGCAGCCGCGGUAAUACGGAAGGUCCGGGCGUUAUCCGGAUUUAUUGGGUUUAAAGGGAGCGUAGGCCGUGGAUUAAGCGUGUUGUGAAAUGCAGGUGCUCAACGUCUGCACUGCAGCGCGAACUGGUCCACUAGAGUGUGCACAACGCAGGCGGAAUUCGUCGUGUAGCGGUGAAAUGCUUAGAUAUGACGAAGAACUCCGAUUGCGAAGGCAGCUUGCGGGAGCACAACUGACGCUGAAGCUCGAAAGUGCGGGUAUCGAACAGG